AGGGUUCGAUAUGGCUCAGAUUGAACGCUGGCGGGAUGCUUUACAUGCAAGUCGAACGGCAGCACGGACUUCGGUCUGGUGGCAGUGGCGAACGGGUGAGUAAUGUAUCGGAACGUGCCUAGUAGCGGGGGAUAACUACGCGAAAGCGUAGCUAAUACCGCAUACGCCCUUCGAGGAAAAGCGGGGGGACCUUCGGGCCUCGCACUAUUGAAACGGCCGAUAUCAAGUUAAAAGCUAGUUGGUGGAGAUGUGGCUCCACCGGGCG
Molecule: unclassified non-coding RNA, 265 nt
Filed under: uncultured Bordetella sp.
Lineage: Bacteria; Pseudomonadati; Pseudomonadota; Betaproteobacteria; Burkholderiales; Alcaligenaceae
Description: partial 16S-23S ribosomal RNA intergenic spacer
Rfam family: Bacterial small subunit ribosomal RNA
Source: RNAcentral